RNAcentral lists this long non-coding RNA (458 nucleotides) under Homo sapiens (human). RNAcentral describes it as "HSALNT0348774". Lineage: Eukaryota; Metazoa; Chordata; Mammalia; Primates; Hominidae. The record is from RNAcentral.
CCCAUCCUUUCUGUCUUUCCAUCAUUACUCUUGAGCAGGGGGCAAAAACAAACACGCAAAUCAAGAAUGGAGUGAUUCAUUCUUCUUCAGGAAGGAAAGCAGGAGAGAGACCUGGGCCCUGACCUUCCUUCGUCACCAUCAGCUUGUGACAUCUUCUCAGGCCAGCCCUAGCCAACUCUGUGACUGUUUCCACAGGUGUCGAUGUUGGCAUCAUGUCUAACUUCUGCUGCUUCCCAAGGUCGCCAUGAUCAUCUCAUUAGUGAGCAGAUGUAAAGUAUUUGUAAAAAGGCAUCAUACAAAAACAAAGUUCAUUGUUAUUCAUCCUUUUCCUUCCCAAAUACACUAGACUUCUUUAAAACAUUAAAGCAAAGUGAGGCCAAGCUGUUUACUUGUUUAACCUAAUAUGAAGGGCCACUGCAAAGCCUGAGGCUCAAAGGUAAGAUUCACAGCCAGGUGCA